Molecule: ribosomal RNA, 303 nt
Filed under: uncultured Pseudomonadota bacterium
Lineage: Bacteria; Pseudomonadati; Pseudomonadota
Description: bacterial SSU rRNA
Rfam family: Bacterial small subunit ribosomal RNA
Source: RNAcentral
AGCGAACGCUGGCGGCGUGCUUAACACAUGCAAGUCGAACGGAUCCGGGGGCAACCCUCGGGUUAGUGGCGAACGGGUGAGUAACACGUGGGAACGUGCCCUUUGGUUCGGAAUAGCCCUGGGAAACUGGGAGUAAUACCGGAUGAGCCCUUCGGGGGAAAGAUUUAUCGCCAAAGGAUCGGCCCGCGUUGGAUUAGGUAGUUGGUGGGGUAAUGGCCUACCAAGCCGACGAUCCAUAGCUGGUUUGAGAGGAUGAUCAGCCACACUGGGACUGAGACACGGCCCAGACACCUACGGGUGCUG